GUGGCGCAGGGUGCGUCGAUGGCGAGCAAAUCGAUCUGCGAGGAUUGUCUGCAGGUGGCUUACAAGAGUGCUUGCCGUCGAGCGAAGGUCGGGCCGUAGAUGUUGGUUGCUUAAUUAGGUAUUCGGGGAAGGCUUUUGUCUCCACAAACAAUACAGUGGAUCUUGCAGUGUACCUGGGCUCGAGGCAUAAGAGGGAGAAGAAGACUGCUAUUAUCGUCGGCCAAGUAUGCACUUCUCAACUGUUUCACUGAUCUCCUUUGCUGGUGCAAAUGAGAAGGAGCUCUUAAAGAAGAAGCAAUGUGAUCGUGACAUUUGAUUUGGUUGGUCGUAAGGUUCUGCUGCUCAUCAAUACUUGGUUAUUCGAAUAAAACAGCAUUCUCUUGCGAAGCACACGACACAUAAGAAUUGAGUGUUGGUAUGUAAGAAACCCUUGCUUUUAUUAAUUGUUAGUAUUGUCUAUUUCAACAAGGAUAUUAAGUGCAUUUCGUAUAUCUCUUGUACAAAAUUGUAAUAUUCACAGCCUAAAUCAUAUGCUUGUCCACAAAAAAAUAAUGUUCUUCCAUGCAUAAACAUUACAGUUUAUUCAUUUAUAUAUAA
This is a long non-coding RNA of Phalaenopsis equestris, 597 nucleotides long. RefSeq lists it as uncharacterized. The transcript is spliced from 4 exons. The record is from RefSeq and is a predicted model, not a curated record. Lineage: Eukaryota; Viridiplantae; Streptophyta; Magnoliopsida; Asparagales; Orchidaceae.